GACGAACGCUGGCGGCGUGCCUAACACAUGCAAGUCGAGGGAGUCCACCCUUUCGGGGGUGAGGCGACCGGCGGACGGGUGAGGAACACGUGAGCAACCUAUCCUGGUGCGGGGGACAACCCGGGGAAACCCGGGCUAAUACCGCAUGGGCGAGUCUUCUGCAUGGGGGACUUGGGAAAGCUGGCCUCUUAACAAUGCUAGCGUGCCGGGAGGGGCUCGCGGCCUAUCAGCUAGUUGGUGGGGUAAUGGCCCACCAAGGCAGCGACGGGUAGCGGGUCUGAGAGGACGACCCGCCACAUUGGGACUGAGACACGGCCCAGACUCCUACGGGAGGCAGCAGUGGGGAAUCUUGGGCCAAUGGCCGAAAGGCUGACCCAGCGACGCCGCGUGUGGGAGGAAGCCCUUCGGGGUGUAAACCACUGUCACCGGGGACGAACGACUCGGGCGUGAACAGCGUCCGGGUGUGACGGUACCCGGAGAGGAAGCGCCGGCUAACUCUGUGCCAGCAGCCGCGGUAAGACAGAGGGCGCGAGCGUUGUUCGGAAUCACUGGGCGUAAAGCGCGCGCAGGCGGACCCCGCCGUGCUUCGGCACGGCUUGUAAGUCUGGAGUGAAAUUCCGGGGCUCAACCCCGGCACGGCUCUGGAGACUGCGGGUCUGGAGACCGGUAGAGGCCGGUGGAACUUCCCGGUGUAGCGGUGGAAUGCGUAGAGCUCGGGGAAGAACACCAGUGGCGAAGGCGGCCGGCUGGGCCGGAUCUGACGCUGAGGCGCGAAAGCGUGGGGGAGCAAAGC
RNAcentral lists this ribosomal RNA (793 nucleotides) under uncultured bacterium. RNAcentral describes it as "bacterial SSU rRNA". It matches the Rfam family "Bacterial small subunit ribosomal RNA", at positions 28 to 774 of the family's 1533-position model. The record is from RNAcentral.